AACGCACCUUGCGCACCUUGGCAUUCCAAGGAGCAUGCCUGUUUGAGUGUCAUCGAAUUCUCAGAACCUCCUACCUGAUGUGGAGGACCAUGGUUGAUGGAGGGCGUGCCCCUCCUCUCUCUGCCUGUGGUCCACUACUUCUUCAGGCAGCGGGGUCUGGAUCGGUGGAGGAUGCAUUGCCAGGCUUAAUAACCCUUUGCUUCUCUGAAAUGGAUCGGCGUCACAGCUUUAUUGUCGGUAUGAUACACAUACAUGUCUUACCUGCUUCCAACCUGUGCCAGCCUUGAACACAAAACACGCUCUCAAGAUUUGACCUCAAAUCAGGCAGGACUACCCGCUGAACUUAA
This 347-nucleotide unclassified non-coding RNA is filed under the name uncultured Agaricomycetes. RNAcentral describes it as "sequence contains ITS2". Lineage: Eukaryota; Fungi; Basidiomycota; Agaricomycetes. The record is from RNAcentral.